GUGCCAGCCGCCGCGGUAAUACGUAGGUGGCAAGCGUUAUCCGGAAUUAUUGGGCGUAAAGCGCGCGUAGGCGGUUUUUUAAGUCUGAUGUGAAAGCCCACGGCUCAACCGUGGAGGGUCAUUGGAAACUGGAAAACUUGAGUGCGGAAGAGGAAAGUGGAAUUCCAUGUGUAGCGGUGAAAUGCGCAGAGAUAUGGAGGAACACCAGUGGCGAAGGCGACUUUCUGGUCUGUAACUGACGCUGAUGUGCGAAAGCGUGGGGAG
This 264-nucleotide ribosomal RNA is filed under the name uncultured Staphylococcus sp. Its description in RNAcentral is "partial 16S ribosomal RNA". It matches the Rfam family "Bacterial small subunit ribosomal RNA", at positions 505 to 768 of the family's 1533-position model. Lineage: Bacteria; Bacillati; Bacillota; Bacilli; Caryophanales; Staphylococcaceae. The record is from RNAcentral.